GAUCAUGGCUCAGGAUGAACGCUAGCUACAGGCUUAACACAUGCAAGUCGAGGGGCAGCAUUUUAGUUUGCUUGCAAACUGAAGAUGGCGACCGGCGCACGGGUGAGUAACACGUAUCCAACCUGCCGAUAACUCCGGGAUAGCCUUUCGAAGAAAGAUUAAUACCGGAUAGUAUACGAAUAUCGCAUGAUAUUUUUAUUUUAAAGUAAAUUACGUUUAGUUCGAUGGGAGUGCGUCC
This 238-nucleotide ribosomal RNA is filed under the name uncultured bacterium. RNAcentral describes it as "partial 16S ribosomal RNA". It matches the Rfam family "Bacterial small subunit ribosomal RNA", at positions 15 to 238 of the family's 1533-position model. The record is from RNAcentral.